CGCGUAGGUAACCUGCCUUGUAGCGGGGGAUAACUAUUGGAAACGAUAGCUAAUACCGCAUAACAAUGGAUGACACAUGUCAUUUAUUUGAAAGGGGCAAUUGCUCCACUACAAGAUGGACCUGCGUUGUAUUAGCUAGUAGGUGAGGUAACGGCUCACCUAGGCGACGAUACAUAGCCGACCUGAGAGGGUGAUCGGCCACACUGGGACUGAGACACGGCCCAG
RNAcentral lists this ribosomal RNA (225 nucleotides) under uncultured bacterium. Its description in RNAcentral is "partial 16S ribosomal RNA". It matches the Rfam family "Bacterial small subunit ribosomal RNA", at positions 114 to 334 of the family's 1533-position model. The record is from RNAcentral. RNAcentral also lists the same sequence under 1 other name.